RNAcentral lists this long non-coding RNA (2422 nucleotides) under Capsicum annuum. RNAcentral's name for it is "long non-coding RNA (CANN_LNC019837)". The record is from RNAcentral. Lineage: Eukaryota; Viridiplantae; Streptophyta; Magnoliopsida; Solanales; Solanaceae.
CAGGAUGGUUUUGUCAUAAAACUCAGUUGGCAAUAAAAGAAGUCUUACCCAAAUUACUGUGAAAGCAAUUUUGGACUUGGAGGGUACAAAAUUCGGUUCCCAUACUCUGAUUGAAACAUAUAAGCCCACCACGAAUCAUGACCCUUCUAGCAAGAUCUUUUUCUGAAUCUCUCUAGAGUAAUCUUCACUGUGUAGAAGUCCUCCCCUAGAUCGAUGAGGACCACAUUUUCCUGUAAUUUCUAUAAAUCAGUCAACUUGGAGCGGAGGUAUUGGUGAUUUAGUUUCCUUCCCACACACUUGAUAAUUAUAGAUCUUUUUCAUGGAUUAUAUAGUCUUUCCUUAUCCUCAUCCGAUAGUUGAAUGGGGUCUUCAUCAGAUUCGAUAUCUGUAUUUUUCAAGUUGUUGAAGGUCAUGGUUGGUUUAUUAGUUCCAAAGCUAUGCUUAUAUCUCUCUUCUACUGCUUCGUUAUAAAAUUAUUUACUUGGGGGGUCUUCUUCCAUUUUGGCCGGUGUUAGGUCCGGUGGGUCCUACAGUAGUAGUGAUGCAGAUGGGUCUGGGUUUUGCAAUUCAGUCGGCGAUGACAUUUGGGAAUUUUUAGAGAGAGUGUCUUUCUCUCACCUUGAUCAAAACUAGAAUUAACUCCACAAAAUAUCAUUUUCUUCACUCAAGUUAAGAAUUAUCUUUUUCUAUUUUAAUUCGCGAGAAUUGCAAUCCGACCUUCUAUAUUGUAUAAAGCGGAGUGUUGGCCGGUUAAGAAUUCUCAUAUCCAAAAGUAGAAAGUGGCGGAAAUGAGGAUAUUGCGUUGGAUGUGUGGUUUCACAAGGGCUGACAGGGUUAAGAAUGAUAUUAUUUGGGAGAAGGUGAGAGUGGUAUCUGUGGAGGAAAAAAUGCGGGAAAUAGGGUUGAGAUGGUUUGGUCAUGUGAUGAGGAGGGGUACAGAUGUCCCAGUUCGUAAGUGUGAGAGGUUGGCCUUGGAAGAUUUUAAGCGGGGUAGAGGUAGACCAAAGAAAUACUGAAGAGAAGUGAUUAAGUGUGACAUGGAGCACUUACAGUUGACUAAGGACAUGACCCUGGAUAGGAAGGUAUGGAGGAAAAACAUUAGGAUAGAGGGCUAAGGGUGUGGAUGAGUCGUAGCUAGUAAUUAGUUGGACUUUUUGGCAAUGUACAAUCUUCUGUGGAUGUCGUACCUAUAUUAUUUUAUCAUGUUCCUUGCUUUUGAUGCUUUUGGAUAUUGUCUUUAAUCUUGAGCUGGGGGUCUAUCGGAAACAGUCUCUCUACCUCUUUAGAGGUAGUGGUAUAGACUGUGUACACUCUACCCUCCCCAGACCCCACUUUGUGGGAAUAUAUUGAGUUUGUUGUUGUUGUAUUUUAAUUCACCAUUAUUGAACCAAGAAAAGAAUUUUUCUCUUGACUUUUCUAUUCCUUUCAAUUUUUUUUGGUCCAAUUUUUUUUCAUUAUUUCUUUUGUUGUUGUCUUUAUCACUAUACAAAAAAUCCUCCAUAAAUAUAAAACAAAGCUCCACGAAGAAAUAAUUUACACGAACAGACUUGAAAAAUCUUCUUUUGAAUUUUGCAUCACUUUCUAUUAAUAACAAAAUCCUUUUCAUUUUCCACAGAAAAAAUAUUAAUUUUUUCAAUCUCAUUAGUCAACAAGUACACAAAUUCCACUGCUUUGACCUACUCAACAUCGAUGGAGCCAAACAAUAUUAACCGUAUAUAUUCCCUAAAUCUUACCACGUUCUUCAACAUAUCCCCUACCAUGACAAUAUUUUUUCAACAUGUUGCUACAAUUCCUUCUUAAUUUUUUAAAAAAGAAGAGAAAUUUAAUAUUCGUUCUUCUUUACUCCACAAAUCCUAUUCCUUUACCCCACCCUUCCAUUUUUUCUCAUUUUUCACCACGAAAAAUUUUCAAUUAAUAUAUGAAAAACAACAUUGAAUAAAGGAAGAACCUUGAUGAAGGACCCAAAUAAGAAACUCACUUUUUGAUUUGGAUGGUGGGUCGGUUGAUUUGGAUGGAGUUAGUUCACCAGUCAUCGACUGCAGUGGUUGGCGGUGUAUGUUGAUGAGCAAUGAAAAAGAUAAAAUUGGAGUUGGGUGAUUUUGAUAUUGUUAAUGGAUGAAGUAUUGAUUGUUGUUCUAAUUGUUGUGUGGAAGAGAAAAGAAAAGAAAAAUGGUAUGAGGGAGUAUGGCAGUGGUGGAAGGUUGUGGGUGGGCUAUGGGUUGGGGGAGGUAGAGAUGGCGGUUGUGGGUUGGGAGAGAUGGAGGAAAACGAGAUAAAUAAUUUUUAAUUUAUUAUUUUAUUUUUUUUUAUUUAAUAUUAUUGAUUGAUAAUUUUCAAAAAUAAUUAAUAAAGAUAAUUAUUACAUGUUAUUUAUUUAUGUGAUGCGGAUUUGAGUCUCAUUUAUAUUAGUGCGAGUGAGUUA